CAGUAGCCGCGGGAAUACAGAGGGUGCAAGCGUUAAUCGGAAUUACUGGGCGUAAAGCGCGCGUAGGUGGUUCGCCAAGUUGGAUGUGAAAUCCCCGGGCUCAACCUGGGAACUGCAUCCAAAACUGGCGAGCUAGAGUAUGGUAGAGGGUGGUGGAAUUUCCUGUGUAGCGGUGAAAUGCGUAGAUAUAGGAAGGAACACCAGUGGCGAAGGCGACCACCUGGACUGAUACUGACACUGAGGUGCGAAAGCGUGGGGAGCAAACAGGAUUAGAUACCCCAGUAGUCCCUGUCUCUUAUAC
RNAcentral lists this ribosomal RNA (301 nucleotides) under uncultured bacterium. RNAcentral's name for it is "partial 16S ribosomal RNA". It matches the Rfam family "Bacterial small subunit ribosomal RNA", at positions 509 to 807 of the family's 1533-position model. The record is from RNAcentral.